RNAcentral lists this ribosomal RNA (213 nucleotides) under uncultured bacterium WkB41. Its description in RNAcentral is "partial 16S ribosomal RNA". It matches the Rfam family "Bacterial small subunit ribosomal RNA", at positions 338 to 524 of the family's 1533-position model. The record is from RNAcentral.
CUUACGGGAGGCAGCAGUGGGGAAUAUUGGACAAUGGGCGAAAGCCUGAUCCAGCAAUGCCGCGUGUGUGAAGAAGGUCUUCGGAUUGUAAAGCACUUUCGACGGGGACGAUGAUGACGGUACCCGUAGAAGAAGCCCCAGCUAACUUCGUGCCGGCAGCCGCGGUAAUAAACAAUAANCACCGGCUAACUACGUGCCAGCAGCCGCGGUAAU